Long non-coding RNA from Eurytemora carolleeae, 192 nucleotides. RefSeq lists it as uncharacterized. Lineage: Eukaryota; Metazoa; Arthropoda; Copepoda; Calanoida; Temoridae. The transcript has 3 exons. The record is from RefSeq and is a predicted model, not a curated record.
CGUGACAAUAAGUAAUUUCAAGGCUGUGCUAAAAGAUGCAAAAAAAUGUUUUCAAAUAUUUUCAUUUCAUUUGUUCUGUGUACUUCAACGUUGUACAGAAGUGUUCAGAGUUUUGAAAUACAGAUUGAAGAGAGUGAGAAAUAUCCCAAUAUAGACAGAUCAAGUGGAGUUCCACUUUCAGAACUUUAUAAA